Molecule: long non-coding RNA, 2012 nt
Organism: Triticum dicoccoides
Lineage: Eukaryota; Viridiplantae; Streptophyta; Magnoliopsida; Poales; Poaceae
Exons: 3
Source: RefSeq, a predicted model, not a curated record
CCAUAUCACUAGUUGCAUCCCGCCGCCUCCUCCGUGUCUGGCGUCGCCGCACCCUGGUGCUUGAUCCCAAUCCCGCCGCUGCCGCCCCACGCCUCCAGCGCCAUCUCCAUCUCCAUCCCCGUGGAGGGUCGGUCCCUUGCUGUCCAGCCACUCCCACGCCGCCUCCCUCUCAUCGAAGGGCGCCUCCCUCGUCGUCCAGCGCUGCCCCCUCGCCGUCCAGCGGCUCCAGUGCCGCCUCCAUCCCGAUUAACGGGCGCCUCCCUCGCCGUCCAGCCACCCAGCGCCGCCUCUCUCCCCGUUGACUGGGUCCUCUCUCGCCCUCCAGAUCUGCUUUCCUCGCCAUUCAAAUCCGAUUCCCAUGCCGGCCAGCCGCCUCACCCUUCUGUCUCCCUCCUAGUCCAGCUUCUCCCACUGCCAAGUCAACUCUUGGCGAACUGCAACCGACCUGGGGAGAGGAAGACCCAAAAAACGUAGCAGCAUGCACUUUUUUUCAUUAUUGGUGUCUGAAUCCUAGCAGAGAGUUCAGCAGUAGCCACAAUGGUCUUUGUUUUAGUUAGAUCUGUCCUAAUAACACACCUGGUACUGUAUUUGACUAACUUGAAGUUGACAUAUUGUGUUUAUUUUCAGAAAUCCGAGGGAAACAUAAAUUGGAAACUAGAGGAGUUAUGGGCAACUUUACUAGUCUGAAUCCCUAGUUGAGAGUUCAGCGGUAGCCGCAAUGGUAUAUUUUUCUUUAUAGUCUAUAAGAUUAAUAGAAUAUAUGCACGAUUUGGAAUGGCCGACAUUGUAGGAUAAAUUAGUACUGUAUUAGUUUUGAGGCUCCCUUCUUAUAUUCUGGUAUUGUGGGCAAUCGUGAUUUUGGCAUGCUCACUGGAAUCAAGUGAGGUGAGAAUAUCGAUCUUCCAGACACCUAUUUCUUCUUGUGAAUUUAGAAAAGGGAGGUUGAGACAUCAUCUCCAUUUCCCUAUUUCUCUAAUCUAUAGGGCAGUGAGAUAACGAUGAAUGCGACAGCGAGAAAUGAUGGUUCUCCAAAUCUUCCUUUCUGUGGUAUCUUCUAAGGCAUCCCUGAUAUGUCUCUUUUUGGUUCUUAAUUUUUUUUGCUAUGAAUAGUUCAUCUCCUAAAUAUAUCUUAAUUGUGUUUGUCUCUAGGAGCGUGACAUCGUAACCCAGACUAGUUCUUUCCAGAUUUAGAUAUUUAGCUCGACAUUAAAAUCGCAACUUCGUGAGAUUCUAAACCUGAAGGGAGAGCACUACGUAGCGUUCCUAUUUGAUAUCUCUCUUUUUCAUAUCUCAUGGGAUAGCUACACCCAUGCCAGUGCUAAAUGCUUAUUACUUGGUUGCACUGCUGAAAUUGAGCUGAAUUACACUUCUACAACUUUGUAGCUAUAUGUGAGCCUCCCACUAAUUUUUUGACAGUUGCUUAGUUAGGUACACUCAUUCAUGGUUUUUUAUUACAGUUUCUUAGCAUACAUGAUAUGCUUACCAACAGGUUCUUGUACUACUAUCUUCGAACAUUUCAAAGCUUAAGACAUGGCAAACUGAUGAGUUGGACAACUUUAUGAUGCUAUCACCAAUUCAUUUUAAGCAUACAUAUAUAGCAGUUCUUAAUUCUUGGUGAUCAAAAUGCGCAUGAUUUAAGGUUCCAAACCUGUUGUUUGAUGUUACUGGUAUUAUGUUUGGUCAAUGGCAUACCUUCUGGGAGUUCUUCUUUGCAACUUUGAUUGGGAAGACCAGCAUCAAGACUCGUAUUCAGGUGGAUGGAUCUUCCCAAGCCUAAGAGCAUGCUGGUACUCUGUUUGGCAGCUUCUUCCCAUGCCAAGAAGACCAUGGUGCUACUUCGGCCAAGGAGAAUCAUUUAGGAAUGUAUUUUCUGACUGUUCAGCUUCGUUUGUCUUUUGGAGGGGCUAAAUGGAGCAGCUCUUGUUCUUUUUAAUUUUUUGGUAACCAUGAGUUGGAAUAUCAUUUUGUGAACAAUUCAAGAUAUUACAAUGAAUGUGGUCUUAUUUACUCAG